AACUGAUACUACCUGCGGGAACCUGCGGAAGGAUCAUUACUGAAGUGAUUUGGGGAUGUUGCUGGCCCUCUCUCAAGGGGGGGCACUGUGCACUCCUCGAAACAAUUCACAAUUUCCAUCACACCCCUCGUGCACACCUUGUAGGCACCCAAACCCACCUCCGGGUGGUGGGGUCCUAUGUAUUCCUUCAUCUCACACUCUGUUGAAUGGUGCCAUGGGACGCAUCUAAAGGAUUAUUUG
RNAcentral lists this unclassified non-coding RNA (240 nucleotides) under soil metagenome. Its description in RNAcentral is "partial contains 5.8S ribosomal RNA, internal transcribed spacer 2, and large subunit ribosomal RNA". The record is from RNAcentral.